UCUGAGAUAUGCUACAUCAAAUAGGGCGCCUAGCAGUCCCUCCUGAUGCUGCCUACCCUGAGUUUUCUUAUCCCCACCCUCCAAAGACUUCAUCCUGCAACCUGACUCCCCCAAGCUGCAUAGAGCACCUGGUCCAAUGCCUGGGGACACAGGAGGCUUGUGGAGGUGUAUGUUUUUCCUUCAUGAACCCAUGAGAGCAACAAGAACAUAGACCAUGGAGCAAAUGUCCCAGUGGUUUAGGGGAAAUGUUCAAGAAUCAUAGCCAGUGCAGUUCACCUUUGUGGACUGGAUGCCUGGAAGCAGCCACAAAGACCAGAUGGAAACCCAGACAGACAUGGAUUCUCAUAAUGGGAUUCAAGCUUUAUCUUCUGAAGGGAAAUGCAAGGAGCUCUGCAUAAUGAGAGGUUCAUUGCUGGAGAAGGGGCAAGAAAAUGCAAGCAUCCAGGCAAAGAGAGAUAAAAGGAGAUUGGCUCCCAGCAAUAUCCCUCCUCGCAGGAAGUGAGCUAUGAUAAAUCCAUAUUUCUACAUAAUAAGCUGUUCUGCUGGGACUGGAGCAUCCCUUCCUCAGCUCAGGGGAGAAAGUGUUACAGGCCUGGCUAUGCACAUGGAGAUGUGCAGUCUGUUCCUGCCAGCCUUGGGGGCAGGUGGCUUGCCUGUUCGGUCUCCCCAGAACAUCCAGGACAUCAGAGGGCAUCGAGUUCAUUUAGUCUUUGGUUUCUUUACAGCCCAAAACAUCUUCUGGAGACUGUGAUGUGGUUAAACUAAAUUUCAAGUUUUCACUACAUCCCAAGAUUUUGCUCAAAUUUCUGUGCCGAGAGUCAACUUACUGACUCACCCAUUAGAGUAAACGUUUUUCUUGCUUCCCACACGUAUAUUUCCCUCUUUAUCCAACGUCCAGAUUUGCCUUGGGGGACCACCUCCUCC
RNAcentral lists this long non-coding RNA (924 nucleotides) under Chinchilla lanigera (long-tailed chinchilla). RNAcentral's name for it is "lncRNA (ENSCLAG00000025825.1)". The record is from RNAcentral. Lineage: Eukaryota; Metazoa; Chordata; Mammalia; Rodentia; Chinchillidae.